This 73-nucleotide transfer RNA is filed under the name Guinardia delicatula. RNAcentral's name for it is "tRNA-Asn". It matches the Rfam family "tRNA". Rfam says of the family: Transfer RNA (tRNA) molecules are approximately 80 nucleotides in length. Lineage: Eukaryota; Bacillariophyta; Coscinodiscophyceae; Rhizosoleniales; Rhizosoleniaceae. The record is from RNAcentral.
UCUUCAAUAGCUCAAUUGGUAGAGCAAAUGGCUGUUAACCAUUAGGUCGUCGGUUCGAAUCCGGCUUGAAGAG